UGGGAGGGCUCUGAUUUGGCAGGGAGAAUGAGAUAGGAAGUAAGCUGGGUCCAGUAUUUGAGAUCAGGUCUGAACAAGGUCCUGCUCUCUGGUGCUUUCCUGAUUGCUAUGGAAUAGAACUGGAGCCGAGAACCAGAUGCUUUCUGUUUAUCCUCAUCAUAAUUUAACAUUAUCCAUGUUAGCUGGACAGUAUCCUCUGAAUUUCAGUAAGCUGAAAAGCCCACUUCACUACUUCCACUCUACUGAGAAAUGCUGAGCUGAGAGCUGGAAGGAUUUUUGGUUGUUUUCCUGACAUUAGGCUGAUCAGUGAGAUAUAAUGAGGACAAGGGAGAAGUGCCAGAAGUUUUGAACUUGAACAACAUCAGAGCCAGCUGAAAACUUAACCUCAAACUUUUCAAGUUCCUUUGUAAAUCGGUAACCUCAUGUUUGUGAGAUGGCAAGGGGAUAGGCAGA
Molecule: long non-coding RNA, 453 nt
Filed under: Anser brachyrhynchus (Pink-footed goose)
Lineage: Eukaryota; Metazoa; Chordata; Aves; Anseriformes; Anatidae
Description: lncRNA (ENSABRG00000001740.1)
Source: RNAcentral